CCUACGGGGGGCUGCAGUGGGGAAUAUUGGACAAUGGGGGCAACCCUGAUCCAGCCAUGCCGCGUGUGUGAAGAAGGCCCUCGGGUUGUAAAGCACUUUCAGUGAGGAAGAACGCCUGGUGGUGAAUACACAUCAGGAAAGACAUCACUCACAGAAGAAGCACCGGCUAACUCCGUGCCAGCAGCCGCGGUAAUACGGAGGGUGCGAGCGUUAAUCGGAAUUACUGGGCGUAAAGCGCGCGAGGUGGCUUGAUAAGCCGGUUGUGAAAGCCCCGGGCUCAACCUGGGAACGGCAUCCGGAACUGUCAAGCUUGAGUGCAGGAGAGGAAGGUAGAAUUCCCGGUGUAGCGGUGAAAUGUGUAGAGAUCUGGAGGAAUACCAGUGGCGAAGGCGGCCUUCUGGACUGACACUGACACUGAGGUGCGAAAGCGUGGGUAGCAAACAGGAUUAGAUACCCCUGUAGUC
RNAcentral lists this ribosomal RNA (464 nucleotides) under Vreelandella stevensii. RNAcentral's name for it is "partial 16S ribosomal RNA". It matches the Rfam family "Bacterial small subunit ribosomal RNA", at positions 338 to 795 of the family's 1533-position model. The record is from RNAcentral. Lineage: Bacteria; Pseudomonadati; Pseudomonadota; Gammaproteobacteria; Oceanospirillales; Halomonadaceae.